Molecule: ribosomal RNA, 456 nt
Filed under: uncultured bacterium
Lineage: Bacteria
Description: bacterial SSU rRNA
Rfam family: Bacterial small subunit ribosomal RNA
Source: RNAcentral
GAUGAACGCUAGCGGCAGGCCUAAUACAUGCAAGUCGAGGGGCAGCGCGGUAGCAAUACUGGCGGCGACCGGCGCACGGGUGCGUAACACGUAUGCAACCUACCUUCAACUGGAGGAUAGCCCGGGGAAACUCGGAUUAAUACUCCAUAACACAGGGAUCCCGCAUGGGAAUAUUGUUAAAGCUACGGCGGUUGAAGAUGGGCAUGCGUUCGAUUAGCUAGUUGGUGUAGGUAACGGCUCACCAAGGCUACGAUCGAUAGGGGGUCUGAGAGGAUGAUCCUCCACACUGGUACUGAGAUACGGACCAGACUCCUACGGGAGCAGCAGUAGGGAAUAUUGGUCAAUGGGCGCAAGCCUGAACCAGCCAUGCCGCGUGCAGGAAGAAGGCCCUCUGGUUGUAAACUGCUUUUGAUAGGGAACAAAUGCCACUUGCGAGUGGAGCUGAGUGUACCUAUA